CACGUAGGGUGCGAGCGUUGUCCGGAAUUAUUGGGCGUAAAGAGCUUGUAGGCGGUGUGUCGCGUCGGCCGUGAAAACCUGCAGCUUAACUGUGGGCUUGCGGUCGAUACGGGCAUCACUGGAGUUCGGCAGGGGAGACUGGAAUUCCUGGUGUAGCGGUGAAAUGCGCAGAUAUCAGGAGGAACACCGGUGGCGAAGGCGGGUCUCUGGGCCGAUACUGACGCUGAGGAGCGAAGGCGUGGGGAGCAAACAGG
Molecule: ribosomal RNA, 254 nt
Filed under: uncultured bacterium
Lineage: Bacteria
Description: partial 16S ribosomal RNA
Rfam family: Bacterial small subunit ribosomal RNA
Source: RNAcentral